This 1094-nucleotide ribosomal RNA is filed under the name Nocardia sp. Its description in RNAcentral is "bacterial SSU rRNA". It matches the Rfam family "Bacterial small subunit ribosomal RNA", at positions 45 to 1165 of the family's 1533-position model. Lineage: Bacteria; Bacillati; Actinomycetota; Actinomycetes; Mycobacteriales; Nocardiaceae. The record is from RNAcentral.
UGCUUACCAUGCAAGUCGAGCGGUAAGGCCCUUCGGGGUACACGAGCGGCGAACGGGUGAGUAACACGUGGGUGAUCUGCCUCGCACUUCGGGAUAAGCCUGGGAAACUGGGUCUAAUACCGGAUAUGACUCCUGGUUGCAUGGCUGGGGGUGGAAAGAUUUAUCGGUGCGAGAUGGGCCCGCGGCCUAUCAGCUUGUUGGUGGGGUAAUGGCCUACCAAGGCGACGACGGGUAGCCGGCCUGAGAGGGCGACCGGCCACACUGGGACUGAGACACGGCCCAGACUCCUACGGGAGGCAGCAGUGGGGAAUAUUGCACAAUGGGCGAAAGCCUGAUGCAGCGACGCCGCGUGAGGGAUGACGGCCUUCGGGUUGUAAACCUCUUUCGACAGGGACGAAGCGCAAGUGACGGUACCUGUAGAAGAAGCACCGGCCAACUACGUGCCAGCAGCCGCGGUAAUACGUAGGGUGCGAGCGUUGUCCGGAAUUACUGGGCGUAAAGAGCUUGUAGGCGGUUUGUCGCGUCGUCUGUGAAAACUCACAGCUCAACUGUGAGCUUGCAGGCGAUACGGGCAGACUUGAGUACUGCAGGGGAGACUGGAAUUCCUGGUGUAGCGGUGAAAUGCGCAGAUAUCAGGAGGAACACCGGUGGCGAAGGCGGGUCUCUGGGCAGUAACUGACGCUGAGAAGCGAAAGCGUGGGUAGCGAACAGGAUUAGAUACCCUGGUAGUCCACGCCGUAAACGGUGGGCGCUAGGUGUGGGUUUCCUUCCACGGGAUCCGUGCCGUAGCUAACGCAUUAAGCGCCCCGCCUGGGGAGUACGGCCGCAAGGCUAAAACUCAAAGGAAUUGACGGGGGCCCGCACAAGCGGCGGAGCAUGUGGAUUAAUUCGAUGCAACGCGAAGAACCUUACCUGGGUUUGACAUACACCGGAAACCUGCAGAGAUGUAGGCCCCCUUGUGGUCGGUGUACAGGUGGUGCAUGGCUGUCCUCACCUCCUGUCCUGAAAUGUUGGGUUAAUCCCCCAACGAGCGCACCCUUGCCUGUGUUGCACGCCUAAUGGCGGGACUCCCAGGAAAUGCCGGGGUCACCUCG